UCUCAAAGAUUAAGCCAUGCAUGUCUCAGUGCAGGCCUUCAUACGGUGAAACCGCGAAUGGCUCAUUAAAUCAGCUAUGGUUUAUUGGAUCGUACCCGUUAAAUGGAUAACUGUAAUAACUCUAGAGCUAAUACAUGCCUCGAUGCCCUGACUCUCUGGGUGCCGUCUCUCACUAGGUGGUGGUUGCUUGGAGAGGAAGGGUGCACUUAUUAGAUCAGAAGCCAACCUUGUUUGGCCUGUAUGGUUGUAAUGCCUAACGGUGGUUACAGCUGUGGGCCAAGCAUGAUGACCUUCUGGUGACUCUGGAUAAUUGUUACAGAUCGCAGUCGACCUUGAGUCGGCGACGGGUCCUUCAAAUGUCUGCCCUAUCAACUUUCGAUGGUAGGUGACCUGCCUACCAUGGUUAUAACGGGUAACGGGGAAUCAGGGUUCGAUUCCGGAGAGGGAGCCUGAGAAACAGCUACCACUUCCAAGGGAGGCAGCAGGCGCGCAAAUUACCCACUCCCGGCACGGGGAGGUGGUGACGAAAAAUACCGAUGCGGGACUCCUAAAAGAGGCUCCGUAAUCGGAAUGAGUGGACUAUAAAUCCUUUCACGAGGAUCCAUUGGAGGGCAAGUCUGGUGCCAGCAGCCG
This 633-nucleotide ribosomal RNA is filed under the name Tetrabothriidae sp. BOLD:AAM7874. RNAcentral describes it as "bacterial SSU rRNA". It matches the Rfam family "Eukaryotic small subunit ribosomal RNA", at positions 35 to 576 of the family's 1831-position model. Lineage: Eukaryota; Metazoa; Platyhelminthes; Cestoda; Tetrabothriidea; Tetrabothriidae. The record is from RNAcentral.